CCUACGGGUGGCAGCAGUGAGGAAUAUUGGUCAAUGGACGGAAGUCUGAACCAGCCAUGCCGCGUGCAGGAAGACGGCUCUAUGAGUUGUAAACUGCUUUUGUACAAGGGUAAACCUGCAUACGUGUAUUCAGCUGAAAGUACUGUACGAAUAAGGAUCGGCUAACUCCGUGCCAGCAGCCGCGGUAAUACGGAGGAUCCAAGCGUUAUCCGGAUUUAUUGGGUUUAAAGGGUGCGUAGGCGGAUUGAUAAGUUAGAGGUGAAAUCGCCGAGCUUAACUUGGGAACUGCCUCUAAUACUGUUGAGCUAGAGAGUAGAUGCGGUAGGCGGAAUGUAUGGUGUAGCGGUGAAAUGCUUAGAGAUCAUACAGAACACCGAUUGCGAAGGCAGCUUACCAAUCUAUAUCUGACGUUGAGGCACGAAAGCGUGGGGAGCAAACAGGAUUAGAUACCCCGGUAGUC
Molecule: ribosomal RNA, 460 nt
Filed under: uncultured bacterium
Lineage: Bacteria
Description: partial 16S ribosomal RNA
Rfam family: Bacterial small subunit ribosomal RNA
Source: RNAcentral